Molecule: microRNA, 21 nt
Filed under: Oryctolagus cuniculus (rabbit)
Lineage: Eukaryota; Metazoa; Chordata; Mammalia; Lagomorpha; Leporidae
Description: ocu-miR-486-3p
Gene: ocu-miR-486-3p
Source: miRBase by way of RNAcentral
GGGGCGGCUCAGUCCAGGAUG